RNAcentral lists this ribosomal RNA (747 nucleotides) under uncultured bacterium. RNAcentral's name for it is "bacterial SSU rRNA". It matches the Rfam family "Bacterial small subunit ribosomal RNA", at positions 100 to 832 of the family's 1533-position model. The record is from RNAcentral.
GGAUGGGUGAGUAACACGUGGGUAACCUGCCCCUCACACUGGGAUACCACUUGGAAACAGGUGCUAAUACCGGAUAAGAGCAGCUGUCGCAUGACAGCAGUUUAAAAGGCGGCCUUUGGCCGUCACUGAAGGAUGGACCCGCGGUGCAUUAGCUAGUUGGCAGGGUAACGGCCUACCAAGGCAGUGAUGCAUAGCCGAGUUGAGAGACUGAUCGGCCACAUUGGGACUGAGACACGGCCCAAACUCCUACGGGAGGCAGCAGUAGGGAAUCUUCCACAAUGGACGCAAGUCUGAUGGAGCAACGCCGCGUGAGUGAAGAAGGUUUUCGGAUCGUAAAGCUCUGUUGUUGGUGAAGAAGGAUAGAGGUAGGAAAUGGCCUUUAUUUGACGGUAAUCAACCAGAAAGUCACGGCUAACUACGUGCCAGCAGCCGCGGUAAUACGUAGGUGGCAAGCGUUGUCCGGAUUUAUUGGGCGUAAAGCGAGUGCAGGCGGUUAAAUAAGUCUGAUGUGAAAGCCCUCGGCUCAACCGGGGAAUUGCAUCGGAAACUGUUCAACUUGAGUGCAGAAGAGGAGAGUGGAACUCCAUGUGUAGCGGUGGAAUGCGUAGAUAUAUGGAAGAACACCAGUGGCGAAGGCGGCUCUCUGGUCUGCAACUGACGCUGAGGCUCGAAAGCAUGGGUAGCGAACAGGAUUAGAUACCCUGGUAGUCCAUGCCGUAAACGAUGAGUGCUAAGUGUUGGGAGGUU